AUUGCGAUGGAAAACGUUGAGAAUCCUGUUGAGGGUGACAAUGGAACUCCUGUGAGGAGUAAGAGACAGAGGACUGCAAAGUCUUUUGGUGAUGAUUUCAUUGUGUACCUUGUGGAUGACACACCCAGGACUAUUUCAGAAGCCUAUGCAUCUCCUGAUGCUGAAUACUGCAAGGAAGCUGUUCGUAGAGAGAUGGAUUCCAUCUUAGCUAACGGUACCUGGGAGAUCACUGACCGUCCUUAUGGGUGCAAACAUGUAGGAUGUAAGUGGGUGUUCAAGAAGAAGCUUAGACCUGAUGGUACGAUUGAAAAGUACAAGGCACGUCUUGUGGCCAAGGGUUAUACCCAGAAAGAAGGUGAAGAUAUCUUUGAUACUUACUCACCCGUGGCUAGACUGACCACAAUUCGGGUGCUACUAUCACUGGCUGCCUCACAUGGUCUUCUCGUUCAUCAAAUGGACGUUAAGACGGCUUUCCUCAAUGGAGAAUUGAAGGAGGAAAUUUACAUGGAUCAGCCAGAUGGUUUUGUAUUAGUACCUGGUCAGGAAGGAAAGGUGUGCAAGUUAUUAAAGUCUUUAUAUGGCCUUAAACAAGCUCCUAAGGAGUGGCAUGAGAAGUUCGAAAGAACAUUAACUGCUGCCGGCUUUGUAGUAAACGAUGGUGACAAGUGUGUGUACUAUCGCUAUGGUGGGGGCGAAGGAGUUAUUCUUUGUCUGUAUGUCGACGACAUAUUGAUAUUUGGCACCAAACUUGAUUUAAUCAAGGAGGUUAAGGAUUUCUUAUCUCGCUGUUUUGAGAUGAAGGAUCUAGGAGUAGCUGAUGUUAUCUUAAACAUCAAGCUGUUGAGACAUGAGAAUGGUGGGAUCACACUGCUUCAGUCUCACUAUGUGGAAAAGGUCUUGAGUCGUUUUGGGUAUAGCGACUGCACACCUUCUCGAACUCCAUAUGAUGCUAGUGUUGCCACGAGGCCUGACAUCUCUUUUGCUGUGAGCAAGCUGAGUCGGUUUGUGUCAAAACCGGGAGAUGAUCAUUGGCAUGCGCUUGAGAGAGUUAUGCGCUAUUUGAAAGGCACCAUGAGCGAUGGGAUUCACUACACCGGGUAUUCCAGGCUACUGGAGGGUUACAGUGACUCAAACUGGAUUUCUGAUGCUGAUGAGAUAAUGGCCACAAGUGGUUAUGUUUUUACACUUGGUGGUGGCACUGCCACUGUUGAAGCAGAGUGGCUUCAUGAACUCUUGAUGGACUUACCUAUGGUUGAAAAACCAAUACCCCCUAUCCUGAUGAACUGUGAUAAUCAAACUGUGAUCGUCAAGAUAAACAGUUUGAAGGACAAUAUGAAGUCCUCAAGACAUGUGAAGAGGAGACUAAAAUCUGUCAAAAAAUUGAGGAACUCCGGAGUUAUUACGUUGGAUUAUAUCCAAACGUCGAAAAACUUGGCAGAUCCCUUCACAAAGGGUCUAUCACGUAAUGUGAUAGAUAAUGCAUCGAUAGAGAUGGGUUUGAGACCCACC
RNAcentral lists this ribosomal RNA (1509 nucleotides) under Triticum aestivum (bread wheat). RNAcentral's name for it is "partial small subunit ribosomal RNA". The record is from RNAcentral. Lineage: Eukaryota; Viridiplantae; Streptophyta; Magnoliopsida; Poales; Poaceae.